RNAcentral lists this ribosomal RNA (442 nucleotides) under uncultured bacterium. Its description in RNAcentral is "bacterial SSU rRNA". It matches the Rfam family "Bacterial small subunit ribosomal RNA", at positions 343 to 794 of the family's 1533-position model. The record is from RNAcentral.
CGGAGGCAGCAGUAGGGAAUCUUGCGCAAUGGGCGAAAGCCUGACGCAGCGACGCCGUGUGUGCGAUGAAGGUCUUCGGAUCGUAAAGCACUGUCGCGAGGGAAGAAACCGAAAGGGUGACGGUACCUCGAAAGGAAGCACCGGCUAACUCUGUGCCAGCAGCCGCGGUAAUACAGAGGGUGCGAGCGUUGUUCGGAAUUAUUGGGCGUAAAGCGCGAGUAGGCGGUCUGUUAAGUCGCGUGUGAAAGCUCCCAGCUCAACUGGGAAAGUGCGCGCGAAACUGGUGGACUUGAGUGCUGGAGAGGGUGGCGGAAUUCCCGGUGUAGAGGUGAAAUUCGUAGAUAUCGGGAGGAACACCAGAGGCGAAGGCGGCCACCUGGAAAGACACUGACGCUGAGAAGCGAAAGCGUGGGGAGCAAACAGGAUUAGAUACCCUGGUAGA